RNAcentral lists this ribosomal RNA (301 nucleotides) under uncultured bacterium. Its description in RNAcentral is "partial 16S ribosomal RNA". It matches the Rfam family "Bacterial small subunit ribosomal RNA", at positions 509 to 807 of the family's 1533-position model. The record is from RNAcentral.
CAGCAGCCGCGGUAACACGAAGGGUGCAAGCGUUACUCGGAAUUACUGGGCGUAAAGCGUGUGUAGGUGGUUGUUUAAGUCUGUCGUGAAAGCCCUGGGCUCAACCUGGGAAUUGCGAUGGAUACUGGGCGACUAGAGUGCGGUAGAGGAUAGUGGAACUUCCGGUGUAGCAGUGAAAUGCGUAGAGAUCGGAAGGAACAUCUGUGGCGAAGGCGACUAUCUGGGCCAACACUGUCACUGAGACACGAAAGCGUGGGGAGCAAACGGGAUUAGAGACCCCUGUAGUCCCUGUCUCUUAUAC